RNAcentral lists this long non-coding RNA (222 nucleotides) under Setaria italica (foxtail millet). Its description in RNAcentral is "long non-coding RNA (SITA_LNC000361)". Lineage: Eukaryota; Viridiplantae; Streptophyta; Magnoliopsida; Poales; Poaceae. The record is from RNAcentral.
GUAGGCGAUGAAGUAGAGGUUGUGCAUGAUGAUACGUCAGCUUGUGUUGCUGUAGCUGAUAGUUCUACCAUAGGCAUACAUGAUAAUGUUAUAUCUUUAUCUGGUUUAGACCUUUCUGAUUAUGAGUUCAUCAGUUGUACAGAAGAUGGCUUUGUCCCUGCUAUUCUAAAGCUGGUUGAAAAUCAGCUAAACCAUGUCAUGUGCGUUAAUGGAUAAAAAUCU